This 773-nucleotide ribosomal RNA is filed under the name uncultured Neocallimastigales. Its description in RNAcentral is "partial large subunit ribosomal RNA". It matches the Rfam family "Eukaryotic large subunit ribosomal RNA", at positions 24 to 633 of the family's 3401-position model. The record is from RNAcentral. Lineage: Eukaryota; Fungi; Neocallimastigomycota; Neocallimastigomycetes; Neocallimastigales.
GUAGUCUCGCACAGAUGCAUAUCAAUAAGCGGAGGAAAAGAAACUAACAAGGAUUCCCCUAGUAACGGCGAGUGAAGCGGGAAGAGCUCAAAUUUGAAAUCUUAAAGGGUUUCCCUUUACGAAUUGUAGUUUAAAGAAGUGUUUUCUGUUGAGGUUUUGGUAAAAGUUCUUUGGAAUAGGACAUCAUAGAGGGUGAGAAUCCCGUAUUUGACCUUUACUUUCAACUUUGUGAUACACUUUCAAAGAGUCGGAUUGUUUGGGAAUGCAGUCCAAAAUGGGUGGUAAAUUUCAUCUAAAGCUAAAUAUUGGCGAGAGACCGAUAGCGAACAAGUACCGUGAGGGAAAGAUGAAAAGAACUUUGAAAAGAGGGUUAAACAGUACGUGAAAUUGUCAAAAGGGAAGCGUUUGACACCAGUGUUGUUUUUCUGAAAAUCAAUUAAAGAACUGUUUAUGCUAAGCUGUUUAGACUUUAUCAGCUACUGUUUAGUUUUGAGCUUUUCUUUAAUGCACUUUUCAGUUAACAAGUCAACAUCAAUUUCUUUUGCUGUAAAAAAGCUUGAGGAAGGUGGCUUGAGAUUCGUCAUAAGUGUUUAUAGCCUCUUGCCUAUGCAGUCGGAGAGAUUGAGGUCUGCAGCGUAGAUCCUUCGGGGCUAAAUGCAUUUGUGCUAAGUUAUAGCAUUUUGUAGACAACUUGUUGACUAUGAUUUGUCUUGUAGCUUACUCGCUUAUGUUAUUUUACCUACGCUUAGGAUGUUGAAGACUCUACAGAGAUA